Molecule: long non-coding RNA, 1108 nt
Filed under: Astyanax mexicanus (Mexican tetra)
Lineage: Eukaryota; Metazoa; Chordata; Actinopteri; Characiformes; Acestrorhamphidae
Description: lncRNA (ENSAMXG00005024493.1)
Source: RNAcentral
UUAUAUUUAACAACAAGGGGAAGUGUGUUCUACUAACAGAAUGUGUGAAACACUGAAUAUGAUGAAAAUGUUCCACAGCGUGCAGCUCUUAAUGGUUAUUACUCUUCUGGGUGUCGGUCAUGUGCAUUGUCAGAUUAGAUACGUUGAGACUGGGACAAGCUACACUUUUAAUCCCACUGUAACCGCAGCUUUUGAAAGUGUUCUUUGGAAAUUCAAUAAUGAAAAAGUGGUUGAGUAUGAAGAUGGCAUAGUGAGAUGGUUUCAGUUUAACGGACUUUUUGAUAAAGAAACUGGAGACCUCACACUUAAUGGGCUGAAGAAAACUCAGAGUGGUUGGUAUGAGUCUGAAAUCCUGGUGAGUGGGAAACUUCAGACUAAAAAGUAUGAAAUUCAAGUGAUUGAUGCUGUUCCACAGCCACAAUCACCUGGAAAGACACUUCCGAUCACUGCCGUAACAGAUCAUACCACAAUGUAUAACUGCACCACAAAGAAUCCAGUGAGUGAAAAGCAUAGUGAGAUCUUUUUGAAGGACUGUUACCCAGAUCAAGGUACCUCUGCCAUUGUCGUAGCUCUUGCAGUUUCCUUCACUGCUAUUCUAAUCACUCUUCUAGCUCUGAUCUACUACAGCUGCUGGAGAGGGCACAAAGACAUGGACAUGACUUUUACCAUAGUUGAAUAUGCUGAAGAUUAAAGUUUGUGAACAACAUACUAGAAAUCACUUCUACAUAAAAAUGGAAAUGUACAUUCCGAUUACUUUCACUGAGAUUUUAACAUUCUAUAAAAUGCUCUUCAUGUUGAUGAUGGUUUUGCUCUUUAUAUAUAUUAGAGCCUUUGCAGUUACCGUUGCAGUUGCAGCACCACAAUGACCUUUUUCACUUUUCAGAACUCUGCUUUUUUAUCUGCUUAAUGUUUCGUGUUAUUAUUAGUUUUUUAUGCGCUUAGCUUUUAUUCAUUUUCUCUUGGAUUGUAAUUGUACAGCACUUUGGUUUUAAAUGUGCUUUAUCAGUAAAUUUUACUUUUACUUUUACUAUCAUGAAUGAUACAAAACAUGCAUUGUUUGAAUACAACCAGUAUAAUAAAUGUUUAUUUGCUGAAUUUAACCUAUUCA